This is an RNA transcript of Salvia miltiorrhiza (redroot sage), 2684 nucleotides long. It is a transcript of the gene named pentatricopeptide repeat-containing protein At1g63330-like, with no coding region annotated. NCBI's taxonomy places the organism in Eukaryota, Viridiplantae, Streptophyta, Magnoliopsida, Lamiales, Lamiaceae. The transcript has 2 exons. The record is from RefSeq and is a predicted model, not a curated record.
CCCAAAAUUGAACGAGAGAACGCACUGUUACAAGAAAUCGCUCAACUUUUAGAUACCAUUCUUCAGAUCCAAUCACAAACAAAAAGAAAAGAGAUCCAAUCUCACCGAUUAAGGAUGAUGAGCAGAAGGGCUGCUGUUUCUGCAAUUGAUCUCAUUCAUGGAAGAGGUUUUCUGUCUCAGAAAUCGGGUAUUCUCUCUCCUCCAUUCUCUCUCUUCUCUUCCAAGGCUUUUCAACCUAAGCGGUCCAGAAUCGAUUUCAGUUGUGUUAAAGAAUUAAAUGAUUCUAUUGAAUUGUUUCAAAAAAUGAAGAGUAUGCGGCCGGAGCCUUCUAUUUACAUGUACAGCAAGCUUAUGAGUGUUACUGCAAACAUUGAGCAAUACUCAUUUGCACUUUAUGUGUUCGAUGAAAUGCUUAGGAUGGGUGUCCCAGUCGAUACUCACACAAUGACUAUAGCGGUGAACUGUUGUUGUCUCUUGAAAGAUAUAAACUCUGGUUUUUCUCUAAUGGGAUUCUUUUUCAAGAUAGGCUACGAACCAAAUGUCGUGACUAUAAGCACUCUCAUUAAAGGGUUUUUCUUUGUUGAGAAAGAGGCCGAAGCCGUGAAAUUGUUUGAAAAGGUUCUGAAUUUAAAUCUUUGUGUGCCUGAUGAUGUUAUGAUUCUGCAAAUGAUAGAUGGGCUGUGCAAAGCUGGACAGGUCAUUGCAGCCCAUGAUUGGCUUCAUAGAUUAGAAGGUAGUGGGAGGAGUCCCAACAUUAUGGCUUAUAACGCACUAAUUCAUGGAUUAUGCAAGGAAGGAAGGAUGAAAGAGGCUGGGAAUGUGUUGGAAAGUAUGACGCAACAAAAUGUUUCUCCCAAUGUCGUCACUUAUUCAGUGGUAAUAAAUGGAUUUUGUUCGAUGGGUGAAAUCGACAGAGCAAAAGAGCUACUUGACACCAUGGUAGAGAGGGGCCUUAAACCCGAUAUUGUUUGCUAUAACAGCUUGAUAAAUGGAUAUUGUAAGAAGGGGAGCGUGGAUGAAGCUUGGCUUCUGUUCCUUGAAAUUCCCGAUAAAGGUCUCGAGCAUAAUACGCGUACUUAUAAUACGAUGAUACAUGGAUUAUUUACGACAGAUAGAUUUGUUGAGGGCUGGAACCUUUUCGAGGAUAUGGAAGCUCAACACAUACAUCCCAACUUGUAUACUUAUAAUACAUUAUUGGAUGGGCUGUUGAAGCAUAGGAUGGUUGAUGAUGCUCUGCAGUUGCUGUCCGAGAUGGUGGAGAAGGGUGUCUCGCCUAAUGUUGUCACGUGCAACAUAUUGAUAGAUGGAUAUUGCUCGCACGGCGAGAUGGUUAGAGCGAGAGAGCUCUUCGAUUCAAUGGCAGAGAUGGGAAUCAAGCGCGAUACAGUCACCUAUAAUAUCUUGAUUAAGGGAUACUGCAAGGCUAGAAACCUUGAUGAAGCAUGGCGUUUCUUUGAUGAAAUCUCGCAUGUAGGUCUCAAGCACUGCACCGUGUCAUACACCACGAUGAUGCAUGGGCUAAUACGCCAAAGUAGUUUUUUAGACGGAUGGAAGCUUUUCCAGGAUAUGGAAGCUCAGAAGCUGCAUCUGAAUAUGCACACCUACAACAUCUUGUUAGAUGGCUUGUGUAGGAUCCAUCGGAUUAAUGAGGCGUUUGCGUUUUUGAGGGUCAUGGAGGCUAAAGGCGCGAAUCCUGAUAUUGUAACGUAUGGUGUUCUGAUCAACGGCUUGUGCAAGGACGGAAGACUUGAUGAUGCUAUAAGGCUGUUCAACCAUCUCCCUUCCAACGGCUUAAAUCCAAAGGUGGAAAUUUACAACAUGAUGCUCAACUCCCUCUUCCACAAUGAGUGUGAAGGGGAGGCGAAGAGGUUGAUGGAGGAGAUGGAGAGAAGAGGGUGCACGCCUAGUGGCGUGACGUUCAACAUUAUUGUGUGGAAUAUGGUGAAGGGCAAUAAGAUUUAUGAGGCGAUUCCUUUCUUGGAGGAGAUGUGCAGGAGAGGAUUCAAGGUCACUUCGGAGAUCAUUUCUGCUUUGCUUGAGGAACUAAGAAUAGGAGAAGGUAAAGAUGAGAAAUUGCAAGAGAUUAUUAAGAAAGUUUGUGCUCAAAAUUGACCAGUGAAUGCUAUAUGUUGGAGUUUGUAUACGUGAGAUCAAAGUCCUCGGAUAUAUUGAUGAACAAAGAAGGAAACCUGAAGAUUGCAGACUUUGGGCUUGCUUAUUUCACGAGGCCUAAGAGCCGGGAGCUGCUAACCAGCUGCUUCGUGACUCUCUGGUAUCGGCGACCUGAGCUCCUUGGUUCGACAAACUAUGGAGGCGAGGUGGAUCUCUGGAGAUCUUCUUAAUAAGUAUCUCUAUCUCUCCCGGAGAGUCGACAUGAAGCAAAUCGAGAAGACUAUCCAAUAUCUGAUCGACAUCGAAGACUCGUUGUCUGCUGCGUUUCCACUGCAGAGCGAGGAUUCGUUCAGCCUUAGAGCCAAAGUAUUCUGUCUCGGAGCUGCAAACCUGAGUUUGAUUCUUAAUAUGCUUGAAUGGCUUUGUUUUAGUUGGACAGAUGGAGGAGGCUAAGGAUCUUUUCGACGAGCUUCCAUCCAAAGGUAUGCGGCCCAGUGUCGUAACAUAUACAAUCCUUAUCGGUGCACUUUGUGAAGAAGGACAGAUAGAGGAGGCUAAGGAUUUGAUGAUGC